This 465-nucleotide ribosomal RNA is filed under the name Vreelandella stevensii. RNAcentral's name for it is "partial 16S ribosomal RNA". It matches the Rfam family "Bacterial small subunit ribosomal RNA", at positions 338 to 795 of the family's 1533-position model. The record is from RNAcentral. Lineage: Bacteria; Pseudomonadati; Pseudomonadota; Gammaproteobacteria; Oceanospirillales; Halomonadaceae.
CCUACGGGCGGCAGCAGUGGGGAAUAUUGGACAAUGGGGGCAACCCUGAUCCAGCCAUGCCGCGUGUGUGAAGAAGGCCCUCGGGUUGUAAAGCACUUUCAGGGAGGAAGAACGCCUGGUGGUUAAUACCCAUCAGGAAAGACAUCACUCACAGAAGAAGCACCGGCUAACUCCGUGCCAGCAGCCGCGGUAAUACGGAGGGUGCGAGCGUUAAUCGGAAUUACUGGGCGUAAAGCGCGCGUAGGUGGCUUGAUAAGCCGGUUGUGAAAGCCCCGGGCUCAACCUGGGAACGGCAUCCGGAACUGUCAAGCUAGAGUGCAGGAGAGGAAGGUAGAAUUCCCGGUGUAGCGGUGAAAUGCGUAGAGAUCGGGAGGAAUACCAGUGGCGAAGGCGGCCUUCUGGACUGACACUGACACUGAGGUGCGAAAGCGUGGGUAGCAAACAGGAUUAGAUACCCGGGUAGUC